UACGGAGGGUGCAAGCGUUAAUCGGAAUUACUGGGCAUAAAGCGCACGCAGGCGGUUGGAUAAGUUAGAUGUGAAAGCCCCGGGCUCAACCUGGGAAUUGCAUUUAAAACUGUCCAGCUAGAGUCUUGUAGAGGGGGGUAGAAUUCCAGGUGUAGCGGUGAAAUGCGUAGAGAUCUGGAGGAAUACCGGUGGCGAAGGCGGCCCCCUGGACAAAGACUGACGCUCAGGUGCGAAAGCGUGGGGAGCAAACAGG
This 253-nucleotide ribosomal RNA is filed under the name uncultured bacterium. RNAcentral describes it as "partial 16S ribosomal RNA". It matches the Rfam family "Bacterial small subunit ribosomal RNA", at positions 524 to 776 of the family's 1533-position model. The record is from RNAcentral.